RNAcentral lists this long non-coding RNA (821 nucleotides) under Homo sapiens (human). Its description in RNAcentral is "non-protein coding lnc-CHCHD5-3:1". Lineage: Eukaryota; Metazoa; Chordata; Mammalia; Primates; Hominidae. The record is from RNAcentral.
GCGUGAGCCACCGCGCCCAGCCUGGGCAUGCAUAUUUUAUGGAUCUUAACUCGACUUUUAAAUUUUCUUUGAGCAUCUGGGAAUUUUAUGAAAGCACUUUGUUAGUUUCUAUUAGUGUCCCCUAUAUCCAAAAUUCUCAUUAAAGAAUGCCGUUUCCCAUCUCUCAAGAAUUUAUCAAUUCAGGCUGGGCAUGGUGGCUUACGUCUGCAAUCCCAGCACUUUGGGAGGCCAAGGUAGGCUGAUUGUUUAAGGUCAGGAGUUCAAGACCAGCUUGGCCAACAUGGUGAAACCCCGUCUGUACUAAAAAAACAAAAAUUAGCUGGGCAUGGUGGCAGGUGCCUGUAAUCCCGGCUAUGCGGGAGGCUGAGGUAGCAGGAUUGCUUGAGCCCAGGAGGCAGAGGUUGCAGUGAGCCGGGAUCACGACGCCACUGCACUCCAGCGUGGGCGACAGAGUGAGAGUCUUUUUUUUUUUUUUGAGACUCACACUGUGCACAGGAAGAAAAUUAUGUGAAUGUCCUUCCUAACAGGGAGAGGCCUUCCCUGACCUUGCUCCCCUUGGGCUGCCAUCAGCAUGGGGCUUUCUUAGGUAUCAAGGCCACCUCAGUUUGGAGAGAUGCCAGAAGUGGAAGUGUCAGCCAGACCAUGUUUUCAUUCUACUUGUCUAUAUUAGAUCAAAGUCAGAGAGAGAAUCUCAGUUCAUAGAGGGAACACUUUAUAACCUGUGUUUAUGGAGGAGAAUCACAUACCAAGUGGAAUCACCUUGAAGCAAGGCUUGUGUGCCGGGGGCGAUGGCUCGUGCCUGUAAUCCCAGCACUUUGGGA